UCACCCCUCAAGCCUAGCUUGGUGUUGGGGCCCGCCCGUCAGGGCAGCCCUUAAAAUCAGUGGCGGCGCCGUCAGGCUCUAAGCGUAGUAAUACUUCUCGCUAUAGAGCCCUGGCGGUCUCUUGCCAAAACCCCUAAUUUUUUAU
RNAcentral lists this unclassified non-coding RNA (145 nucleotides) under uncultured Leotiomycetes. RNAcentral's name for it is "sequence contains ITS2". Lineage: Eukaryota; Fungi; Ascomycota; Leotiomycetes. The record is from RNAcentral.